This 253-nucleotide ribosomal RNA is filed under the name uncultured Lachnospiraceae bacterium. RNAcentral's name for it is "partial 16S ribosomal RNA". It matches the Rfam family "Bacterial small subunit ribosomal RNA", at positions 524 to 776 of the family's 1533-position model. The record is from RNAcentral. Lineage: Bacteria; Bacillati; Bacillota; Clostridia; Lachnospirales; Lachnospiraceae.
UACGUAGGGGGCAAGCGUUAUCCGGAUUUACUGGGUGUAAAGGGAGCGUAGACGGCAGGGCAAGUCUGGAGUGAAAGCCCGCGGCCCAACCGCGGGACUGCAUUGGGAACUACCGGGCUGGAGUGCCGGAGAGGUAGGCGGAAUUCCUAGUGUAGCGGUGAAAUGCGUAGAUAUUAGGAGGAACACCAGUGGCGAAGGCGGCUUACUGGACUGUAACUGACGUUGAGGCUCGAAAGCGUGGGGAGCAAACAGG